AUGGACACGGGUUCAGACACUGGUGCUUCAGUGCCAGGGCCCUGGCUGUUGCCCCUUGCUUUCCAGAUGCCUGCUCGGUGGACAUUUCUGAAGCCCGUUUGGUUGGGGGAGUCAGUGAUGUGGAGGACUGUGGCUGACGUGAACGUCUGUGGCGUCCAGCCUGGAUCACGAGCAGGAAGCCUGAAAUGGGUGAUUGCGCUGGAAGAAAAUGAAGGGCAUGAAAGGCUAGAGUUAUUUAACCUUAGUUUUGCUGCCAGAGUAUGCCGCUGGAGACUUAGCUCCCUACUGGAACCAUAAGUUUCAAUUCUGCUAAUAGAGGAGAUAAUAUGCAUUAGUUAGGGUUGGCCCAAGAGAAGUGGAAAACAUCAGCUGUUAACAGGUAAUAAAAUCACUUUCCAUAUGUGAUCGUUUUAAAUCUGAACAACAAAUUCAUCUGUUUUGCCUUAAACAAAAGGUAAGAUGUGUGAAGACACAUAUUUGCAACCUACUAUGAGGACAUUUUUACCCUACAACGUGAAGCUUCUACCUUUUAUUUGGAGUUUGAGGCCGAGCUAAUUAUACUUACACCUGGGCAGUGCACAUGCAGUCACCUGAGAGAUGGUAGAGUGCAUGGUAGUUCAUUGUUUUAAAAGCGUGUUUCUCCCUGAGGAAGGUGGGGUUCAGCAGCGCCGGCGGCGCUUCCUUUCAUCCGCUCUGCUCCUGACUCCACUGUUGCCCUCGCCGAGGAACAAGGCGCUCAGGAAGCCGCGUGGAAGCCAUGGCCUUUAAAGAUACCGGAAAGACAGCCAGCUAUGCGACCAGCGGUGGUGAGACUCAUUGAAUUAGAAUGACUCUAACCAGCAUGCGACAGAAAAUCCUUGGAGAAGGUGUGUGCUGCUGACUGGAUCAGAGGUGCAAGGGAAAAGAAUCUCAAAGCGGAAGGAAGGACUUGUUCGGAUGCCUUCCAAGACUACGAGAAUCUCUACAAGAAAAACUCCAUGGAGAAGGUUCUAAGACUAGGGAUCGUUUUCAGAUGAGGAUCCACAGCAAUUCAGUGGCUUACUUGCACAGUCCUUCUGAGCUUGUUAAGCAGGUUACUCCAUCAGGACUGAGCCGGGAGUCCAGGUUGAAGUCACCAUUGCAGAUGCUUGAAUCAACGUUUUUAAUAAAUUGACUAUCAG
RNAcentral lists this long non-coding RNA (1160 nucleotides) under Rhinolophus ferrumequinum (greater horseshoe bat). RNAcentral's name for it is "lncRNA (ENSRFEG00010000431.1)". The record is from RNAcentral. Lineage: Eukaryota; Metazoa; Chordata; Mammalia; Chiroptera; Rhinolophidae.